RNAcentral lists this ribosomal RNA (253 nucleotides) under uncultured bacterium. RNAcentral describes it as "partial 16S ribosomal RNA". It matches the Rfam family "Bacterial small subunit ribosomal RNA", at positions 524 to 776 of the family's 1533-position model. The record is from RNAcentral.
UACGUAGGUGGCAAGCGUUAUCCGGAUUUAUUGGGCGUAAAGGGAACGCAGGCGGUCUUUUAAGUCUGAUGUGAAAGCCUUCGGCUUAACCGGAGUAGUGCAUUGGAAACUGGGAGACUUGAGUGCAGAAGAGGAGAAUGGAACUCCAUGUGUAGCGGUGAAAUGCGUAGAUAUAUGGAAGAACACCAGCGGCGAAAGCGGCUCUCUGGUCUGUAACUGACGCUGAGGUUCGAAAGCGUGGGUAGCAAACAGG